AGCAAUACUGAGUGGCAGACGGGUGAGUAUAAUGUGGGUAUCUGCCUUUUGGUUUGGAAUAACUCGGGGAAACUUGAGCUAAUACCGAAUAAGCCCUUACGGGGAAAGAUUUAUCGCCGAAAGAUGAGCCCGCACUUGAUUAGCUUGUUGGUGAGGUAAAAGCUCACCAAGGCAACGAUCAAUAGCUGUUCUUAGAGGAAGACCAGCCACAUUGGGACUGAGACACGGCCCAGACUCCUACGGGAGGCAGCAGUAGGGAAUCUUGCACAAUGGGGGAAACCCUGAUGCAGCGAUGCCGCGUGAGUGAAGAAGGCCUUUGGGUUGUAAAACUCUUUCGUCGGGGAAGAAAAUGACGGUACCCGAAUAAG
RNAcentral lists this ribosomal RNA (368 nucleotides) under uncultured bacterium. RNAcentral describes it as "bacterial SSU rRNA". It matches the Rfam family "Bacterial small subunit ribosomal RNA", at positions 84 to 487 of the family's 1533-position model. The record is from RNAcentral.